AUUGAACGCUGGCGGCACGCCUAACACAUGCAAGUCGAGCGGUAACAUGAUCUGUAGCAAUACAGAUUGAUGACGAGCGGCGGACGGGUGAGGAAUAUGUAGGAACUUGCCUAAGAGAGGGGGAUAACCAAGGGAAACUUUGGCUAAUACCGCAUAAACUCGAGAGAGAAAAGUUGCCCGCAAGGGUGACGCUUUUAGAGAGGCCUGCAUCCGAUUAGCUAGUUGGUGAGGUAAAAGCUUACCAAGGCGAUGAUCGGUAACUGGUCUGAGAGGACGACCAGUCACACUGGGACUGAGACACGGCCCAGACUCCUACGGGAGGCAGCAGUGGGGAAUCUUGGACAAUGGGGGCAACCCUGAUCCAGCGAUGCCGCGUGGGUGAAGAAGGCCUUCGGGUUGUAAAGCCCUUUAGGCUGGGAAGAAGUUUAUACGAUGAAUAAGCGUGUAAAUUGACUGUACUAGCAGAAUAAGCACCGGCAAACUCUGUGCCAGCAGCCGCCGUAA
RNAcentral lists this ribosomal RNA (504 nucleotides) under uncultured bacterium. RNAcentral's name for it is "partial 16S ribosomal RNA". It matches the Rfam family "Bacterial small subunit ribosomal RNA", at positions 30 to 523 of the family's 1533-position model. The record is from RNAcentral.